Rosa chinensis is the source of this 864-nucleotide long non-coding RNA. RefSeq lists it as uncharacterized. NCBI's taxonomy places the organism in Eukaryota, Viridiplantae, Streptophyta, Magnoliopsida, Rosales, Rosaceae. The record is from RefSeq and is a predicted model, not a curated record. The transcript is spliced from 3 exons.
UAGCAAAGGAUUUCGUUGUUGCUGGCACUGCAUCAGCGUGCGUAUAUGGUGCUUGUGAGGCGAUGUUCAAGCCUGACAUGGUUAAGUAUUGGUGGAUGGGAAGGUGAUCAACAAAGCCGGUACUCCAGUAUCUAAUAAAGCUGUUGUAAAGAAUAUGGCUGAAGUCCUCAAAUAUGUAUCUAGGUGAUUCACUUUAACAAAUCAAUCUGCACUUCAUUAUAUGAGAAUCAUUUUAUGCUCGAACUUUGGUAAGACCUGUUAUGCUGAAGGUGAUCAACAAAGCCGGUACUCCAGUAUCUAAUAAAGCUGUUGUAAAGAAUAUGGCUGAAGUCCCCAAAUAUGUAUCUAGGACAUAAGUUAGAAGCUGCUAUUUAUUGAUAUUACUGGCAACAUAGCUCUUGAUUCAUGCUGGUCAACUGGUGGAUUUACCGACUGUUUACUUCAGUAUGGUGCAUUGUUUGUUUAUGGAGUUGAUGUUGGAUAUGGCCAGGUAACAACCCCUAAAUCCAAAUAAAAAUAUCUUAUCUGUGAGUAUACCAAUUCGCUUCUAUUCUUGUUCAAUCAUGAGUUAUGGUAUGUUAAUCUUUUUUUUCCUUCAAAUUUUAGUUUACAAUUGUAGCUGGGGUCAUACUGUUAAUCUUUUUUUUUUUUUUUUUAGCAAAAAGACUGAAUCUUAUAUUUGCUAUGGAUUUGUUGGCUUAACUUUGUUGUACAUGGAGUUAUGCUUUAGGAUCUGCACAAUCUUUUUGGGUUAGCAGUUGAAUUAGUGUACUUGGAUCACAUGUUAUACGGAUCAGCAAUUUGAGACUAGGGAAUGAACUGAGCUAAAAGAUAAGUUCUUUUUUAAGUGGCAAUAUAUGUUUA